CAAUGGRCGAARGCCUGACGGAGCAACGCCGCGUGAGUGAUGAAGGUCUUCGGAUCGUAAAACUCUGUUAUUAGGGAAGAACAUAUGUGUAAGUAACUGUGCACAUCUUGACGGUACCUAAUCAGAAAGCCACGGCUAACUACGUGCCAGCAGCCGCGGUAAUACGUAGGUGGCAAGCGUUAUCCGGAAUUAUUGGGCGUAAAGCGCGCGUAGGCGGUUUUUUAAGUCUGAUGUGAAAGCCCACGGCUCAACCGUGGAGGGUCAUUGGAAACUGGAAAACUUGAGUGCAGAAGAGGAAAGUGGAAUUCCAUGUGUAGCGGUGAAAUGCGCAGAGAUAUGGAGGAACACCAGUGGCGAAGGCGACUUUCUGGUCUGUAACUGACGCUGAUGUGCGAAAGCGUGGGGAUCAAACAGGAUUAGAUACCCUGGUAGUCCACGCCGUAAAMGAUGAGUGCUAAGUGUUAGGGGGUUUCCGCCCCUUUAGUGCUGCAGCUAACGCAUUAAGCACUCCGCCU
This 515-nucleotide ribosomal RNA is filed under the name Staphylococcus sp. W2S. RNAcentral's name for it is "bacterial SSU rRNA". It matches the Rfam family "Bacterial small subunit ribosomal RNA", at positions 369 to 874 of the family's 1533-position model. Lineage: Bacteria; Bacillati; Bacillota; Bacilli; Caryophanales; Staphylococcaceae. The record is from RNAcentral.